Long non-coding RNA from Manis pentadactyla (Chinese pangolin), 5890 nucleotides. RefSeq lists it as uncharacterized. Lineage: Eukaryota; Metazoa; Chordata; Mammalia; Pholidota; Manidae. The transcript is spliced from 5 exons. The record is from RefSeq and is a predicted model, not a curated record.
CCAACCAUCCUUGCAUCCCUGGAAUAAAUCCCACUUGGUUGUGAUGGAUGAUCCUUUUGGUCUACUUUUGAAUUCAGUUUGCCAAUAUUUUGUUGAGUAUUUUUGUGUCUAUUUUCAUCAGGAAUAUUGGUCUAUAAUCUUAUUGUUUUGUAGUUUCUUUGUUUGGUUUUGGUAUUAGAGUGAUGCUGGACCUGUAGAAUGACUUUGUAAGUAUUCCCUCCUCUUCCAGUUUUUGGAAUACUUUAAGAAGGAUGGGUAUUAGCUCUUAUUUAAAUGUUUGGUAGAAUUCACCUGGGAAACCAUCUGGACUUUUGUUUGUUGGGAGUUGUUUGAUUGCCAAUUCGGUUGUUACUGGUAAUUGGUCUGUUCAAAUUUUCUGUUUCUUCCUCAGUCAGUCUUGGAAGGUUGUCCAUUUCUUCUAUAUUGUCCAAUUUCUUGGCAUAUAAUUUUCAUAGAAUUCUCUAAUAAUUCCUUGUACUUCUGUGGUGUCAGUUGGAACUUCUUUUUGUUUCUGAUUUUGACUAUUUUUGUCCCUGUCUUUUUUUCCUGGUAAGUCUGGCUAGGGGAUUAUCUAUUUUGUUACUCAAAGAACUAUCUUUUGGUUUUUUAAAUUUUUUCAAUGGUUUUAUUCUUCUCUAUUUUAUUUAUUUCUGCUCUGAUCUUUAUUAUGUCCCUCCUUCUACUAACUUUGAGUUUCAUUUGUUCUUCUUUUUCUAGUUUCUUUACUUGUGAGUUUACACUGUUUAUUUAGGAUUGUUCUUGUUGUAACUCCUCCCUGAAAAAAGGUUGCAUUACUGUAUAUUUGUUGGGAGCGAGCCUAUGGACUUUAAGCAAUGCCAGUUAUGUAAGUUAAGACAACAGCAAUCAUUUCUGCAGUAUCCUAGAAAAAGCAAAGCUGCUCUCCUAGCCAAAUCAAUAUAGAUCUUGCAGUCAGAUUGCUAAGCAACAUUUCCUCCUCUGUUCUUUCCACUGGCCUUCUAACCCUGCCAACACCCUGCUUCUCAAGAACAUCCUCUGCCCCAGGGGAAGGCCCCACCCUUAAAACCUCCCUCCCAAGGGCCCCCGCCCACAAGAUGGCGAACUCCCCGCUUCUCUUCUGGGUCCUCUGCUCCCGCCGGCGCCACCUAAGGUCCAAUUAUCUUCUGACCCACCCCUUCCUUGCUAACCUGUAUAAAUUGAGCCUGCAAACAAUAAACUGUGCCAGCUUGAUCAGACAUCCUGUCUUGCUGGUCGUGCUUUGUGUCCCUUGCUUGUUUCAUUUCUGCAGGUUUCUCGUUUUGGCCCUCGUUGAUAGUCCCGCGGGACGGGACAACUGGCGCCCAACGUGGGGCUCGACGGGACUCCUGCUGAAACGUCUACUUGUAGUCCUGGCCAGGCACUCAUUUGAGACGUCACGCAGGUAGGAGCCUGAUGCCGACUCUGCAUUGACGAUCACUGCGGCCCACCCGUCCAUAAUACAGAUCCGUGAGAGGUGAGUAGACGCAUUCCCCAAGCAAGCAUUUCAAAAUACCUCUUGUGAGUUCAAUUUUAGUAAUCUGAUUGAUUUUAUCACUUCCCUCCAGUCUCCUGCCGCGAUUUAUUCCUUGUUUUGUCCUCUGGUUGUCCCUCUCUGAAAACCUUGUGCUUACUUUGGGCUGACGGCCGUUCACCUCGAAGGCAUACCCAGGGGACUCUGACUAUGGAGUCCCUGCCCUAGAGGGUCCGAGCAGGCGGAUUAUACCUGCCGGCUGUCCUACGUAAGCAAGGGCUCGUCUGAGCUGAUGAGAGUGGCUCCACUGACUCAAGACAUUGGUGUAGUCGCGGCUGACUUGGAGAGAUUCAAAUUUAGUUAGAGCAGAGGUUGUAACCAUAGUGAUGGGCAAUUCUCUGAACUCCCACGAGGUAUUUCUUAACAGAGUUAAGGAUUCUCUCAGGACACGAGGUGUAAGGGUUAAGAAAAAAGAUCUUCGGCACUAUCAGUUGUAAACGCUGGGAAAGAGUUGGUGAUGCCCUCCAAGAUUUUUAUCAGACCUUUGGCCCUGAAAAGAUUCCUGUCUCAGCGUUCUCCUUUUGGAACCUUAUCCAUGAUAUCCUUAAAGUUCAUUCACAAGACCCUGAUAUCAAAAAUGUUAUAGAAACAGGAGAAAUAGCCCUUAGAAAAAACUCCCGACCACCCUCUACUUGUCCUUCAAUAACUGUGGACAUCCCUGAAGAUCCCGCUGUUUCUCUUGAAGAACCUCCUAAGCCGCAAUCUGAACAAAAUAUUCCAGAUCCCCAAGAUAAACCUGAAAGUAAACCUGGCAAAUCUAAUUCCCCCAAAAUCCCCUCCAUUUACCCUACACUCACAUCUUUAAGACAUCAAAACAAUCAUUUAAGCCCGGAAGAUGAAGAGACAUUAAGAGAACAAGCUGCUCAUUAUCAUGAUCAUGAGAACCCCUGGCGUCUCACGGCGCCAGUCCUUUACACCUUAAGCCUCCCCCAUACAAACCUAUCCACCCCCCCCAAUGCGUCCCUAUGCAGCUAAAUAUAUUUUGCCACAAGGGAAGAAAAUAGUCAAAAGUUCCAUGAACUACUACAAUAUGGAGCUAGUUUUUAAAAUUCUUUUAGUGAACAUCUAUUCUACUUAUUAAGUUCAUCACUAUCUUUGAGAAUUGAGAAGUCUUAAACUAAACUUCCUGAGAUAGAACAAAUUUAUCUUCUGCAGUACAGCCUGGUUUUAAAUGACUGGAGCUAGAGUUGUACUUGCAUUUCAUUUCCAGCCCCCUGGACCAUACACACAGUCCCUAUCAGUCCAGAGCCUUCAUCGGCCCUGUUAGUCUGGGGCUGUCUAAACCUUAACCCAGUUAUGUAAACUGCUUGCCCUUAGAGUGUAUUCUUGAAAACUGAAGUACUUUUAAUCAAAUAAACUAAGAAGAAAGAAGGCAAUUAAAUAUUAGAAACUCAAAUCUUUAUGUCAGUUUGUCUGUAUGUUUUUAUAUGAAAAGUGUUGCUAACUGUAGUCAUUAUGUCUUGGUCUGUAUGUUUGUGUGUCUAAGUGUGUAAAUAAAAAAUGUUUUCUACCUCCAGAUGGUAUUAAUAAAAAUUGAUUUAAAAACAAGCGCUUGUGAAAAUUGGGCAUUCUAAAACUUCCAGAAAAUCUAAUAAAAAAUAUUAUGCAUUAAUGCUAAUUUAAGCUUAACUGAUACGGACGUGUCCUUAUAGUUAUUAACUGCCAAAGUUUACUUAAAGUCAUUUAAGUUGAUGUUACCUGUUAAAUAUUUCAAGAAGAUGCUUAAAGAAAAGCUUGACUUUGAUGUUUAGUAAAAGUUUUAUAAGUAAUCUGGCAUGUUGCUAAAAAUAAGUAAACAAGUGUAGUAAAUAAACUUUUUAAUAAUAUUACUGUGUUAAUGUAUAAAUGUAUAUAUCUGCAAACAGCUUGAGAAUUUUUGUGGUAACCGAAAUUCUUAAAGUUUGCUAAGCUAUAUAGACAUAUUUUGUACUUAAUAAGAAUUUGUGCUAUAAGGCACAUUUCCAAAAAUGAUAAAAUAUGUUCAUAAAUGUAUCAAUCUGAAGAAUGUUGGUGUAACAGUUUACAGUGGCCUGUAUUUCAGUGUUCACUGAAAGUUAAAGUAUCAAAUAGUUUUAAGUUCUGAUGAAAACUACUUGAUAUAAUAAGGAAAAUAUUUUGGUAUGUUAAGAUGUGUGUUUUAAUAAGAGAAAGUAUAAAGAAUGGAAAUUCGUUUUGUUGAGAGUAAAGAAGGUUAAUUGUUCUAAAGUACAGGUAUUUAUUUAAAGGGAGACAGAGAGACAGAGACAGCAGUGUGGUGCAGCAGCAUGGUGCCUUUUGUUGUGGCAGAUCCGCUCAGCCUGUUGCUUUGGGGGAGGGUCAAGAUGUUUAGAGAUAAGGCGGGAUAAACCCAGUCAAGCCCCAGGCAAGCCCAGGCAUAAUUCUCACUGGCUUAUGUGCUUGGGACCAUGGGGCAAAUGAAGAAUAAAUUACUGUAUUCUUACAGAUAUAAUCAUGCUAUGUGAAAUUAAAGCAAGUGAGUCUUAAUAUCAAGAACACAGCAAAAUCGGACUUUUGUUUUCAGUUGGAAAGACAAAGUAUUCUUUAACUGUUAGUCUGCUCUUAAUAUUGAAAGAUUGCAAAGGGUUCUCUAAUUGUUUUAUUAAAACAGUUUCUUAUGCUUAAAGUCUUAAUAAAUUGUCAUUUGUGAGUAUUUAAGAAAAUAAGAUCUUCAUAUUAAAAAGACUAAGCUAAGUGUUAACAACUAUGUAACCUGCAUUUGCUUUUAAACUUUAUUAUCAUUCUAGUUAAAUAAUAAGUGUUAUUUAAUAACUAUAAUUGUAUUUAGGCAAGUGCCUUAAAACCUUUUGACAACUUCCCAAGACAAAAUUUAAAAAAGUAUUUUUACCUCUCAAUUAACUCUGAUAUUUUCCAGAGGGCCCCUGGAACAUAUCAGUAUAAUUUCUUCUCAUCGAAGAAAAUAUUUGACUAAUUUGGCUUAUUUACCUGAUAUAUACUUACCUAAAAAGUGCUGUCAAAAGGAACAAUGCUAAACUUUGUUACUGAAUGUUUUAUGUUACAGAAAGGUCACUCCUCCCCCUAAGACGCUUACUCCUGAUGCCCAAUUACAUUUACUUGUUAGUACUACUAUAAUUACUGAUUGUGUAUGUAUUAAUUGUACUCAUGUAUCCUCUUACUGUAAUUGUACAAUCAAUGUAAAAUAGUCCUCUAGAUAUAGACUUCCAAAUGGUUAAGUAUUUUUGUGUAAUAACAAAACAUAUCAAGCCCUCUCUCCACACUAUCAAGGUGUUUGUGGGGUGAGACGCAUUCUUCCUGCUCUAAUAGACCAUCCUGAAUAUAAGCACAAGAGACUUCUCCAAGCUCUGCCAUCUGACUGUGAUGAAAACUUGAAGCUUUGAGGUCCUGCUGCUGUUGCAGUUGCAGCUGUGUUCCUCCUGCCGGUUCCUGGACUUGUCGUUAGAAUGCUAAAGGAGAUAUCUAAGCUGGCCUGCGCAUAUAGCAAAACGACAAAAUUGACUGCUUCUGUAUUAUCUGAACUCCACCAAGAACUGAGAGAAUUGCGAGCUGCGGUGCCUCAGAAUCGCGCUGCUGUGGACUGUCUGCUGUUAAAAGAGCAUUCCAGACAUGCUCUGAUUAUUAUGACUGGGAAUCAAGACAACUGGCUUUUUGUCAUAACUGGAUGGCUGUGUGGCCUCGAGCAAAGAAAAGGAAUCUGAGCUGCUUUGAGAACCCUCACUGCCUGAUCCUCCUCCAUGGGCUCACCAUCCAUUUCCCCAGUUGCUCGUCUUCUCACCCAACACUGGCCUUCAAUUUGGUUCUUACUCCUCCACCCUGAUGGGACCUCUUACUCCACAUUUUGCAACACUCAUCUCCACUUCCACUCAUCACUGAAGAAGUUUCCACCAGCACGGAGUCCUAAGACCUCCCUUAUGACGGCCAUGCAUCAUGCUUCAGGAUUACCAACCCCUCUCCAAAGAUGAUGAUCCUUAUUAAAUCUGGAACAUGCCAUCACAACUUCAGACCAAGGGAUCAUCCGAGGACCACCCCCCAUCAAUACAAAAAUGAACUUUAUCGCCCCUAAUCAGCAGGAAGCAGUUACCAAAGACUAACCUUCACCCCUUCCCUAAGUCCUCUACCACUUAUAAAACAGAAAAGGGAGGAAUAUAAGAAUAUAGUACUUUAUCUUCCAUUUACACCAUGGUCGCAAGCACAUAGGCCAGUGAAAAUCAUGUCUGGACUUGCCUCACCUUAUCUCUAAACAUUCCGCCCUGCGCCUAAGGCAACAGGCCAAGCGGUACUUUUCCACUCCGCCACUAUAAAAGGCACAACGCUCUGCCCCAUGAGGCUGCUCUCUCUCUGGGGGCAGCCAUUUGUUCUUUCAGAUAAUAAAAUCUCUUGCAUGGA